Chinchilla lanigera (long-tailed chinchilla) is the source of this 1757-nucleotide long non-coding RNA. Lineage: Eukaryota; Metazoa; Chordata; Mammalia; Rodentia; Chinchillidae. The record is from Ensembl.
GUGUGCUCUGGAGGAGCCGGGCCUGGAGUGAGGGGCACUCAGGGCCCCAGCACGCAACCCCGGUCAGAGAGAGGCCUGGGGUGCUGCGGGCAGCAGGGACCCGAGGGACCUGCUGGUCACUACUCCAGGCAUCAAAGCAGCAAACAAGAUCAGAGACAAGGCUGCCGGGGCCUUGAAUGCCGGGAGAGCGGGAGCUGGCGGGGCUGGGCCCAGUCAGUGGGGAGCACGUGGUCACCCGGGUCUGUCUGUCCCUCCGCAGGUGCCCUGCCCCCCACCACCCCAGAACCACCUCUGCUGGGAGUGGCCUGCACCCCAAUAAACCGUUCCCAGUGCUCCGCUGUGCUCUGUUCUUUCCACCCGCGGGAGGCCUGGCCAGGACUGGGGCUCCCGUGCACCCCCAGGCGCCCGAGCUCAGAGUCCGACUGGCUGCGGGGUGGCAGUGGGGAGCGCCGGCGGCGUAGUGGGGCAGGCCCUGGGUUCCGUGCCCUGCACCCCGAGACAGAACGAUCGAGGAUCGGAGCAGACUGGAGGGACGGGCCAGCAGGGCCCCAGGCUGGCCGGCUGGGAGCGAGGCGGGGCUCCUCCCCCGGGCCUCAGGGCGCAGCGAGGCCUGGGGUUCAGCCGGAAUCCCUGCUGGGUUCAAACCCUUGGCCACCGCGCCCGGGCACCGGGGCCCAGCUUCGGCCUCACAGUCGGGGUGCAGUUUCGGGUCCCCGAGCCUUGGGGACCUCGCAGAGCGCUGGUGACAGCGACCCGAGCAGCCCGGCGCGGCAGGGCCGGGAGGACCGAAGGACGGGCGACACCCCCGCCCGGGCCGUGCGGGCACUACCCGGCCUCUGGCCCUGGGGUCGUCUGACCGCCGCCGAGAGCCACUCCUCCGGCGACAGGGCUGGGUUCUGCUCCCGGGCCGCAGCGUCCCUCCGAGGCGGCAGCAGCGGGAGGGCGGGGCCUGGGCACCAGGAGGCGCGGACGGUACCCGUGCGGGCGGGCAGGGCCCUGGCGGGGCCGGGGCUGCAGCGCUUCUGCCCGCGAGCUUGCUCUUCGCUCGGGCGGAAAAUCUCUGCCCCGCUCUCUCCCGUCCUCCGCCCCCUCCUCCUUCUCCGCCUCCUCUUCUCCUUUCUUCUCUCUCUCCCCACUGAGGUGGAACCCAGGGCACCCCAGCCUCCCCUUCGUUUGGUCACCUGUCUGAGCUCUGUCACCGCUCCUUCCUGACCCCACCUCUUUUUGGGGCACUGGGGACCGAACCCAGCGCCUUCCCACUGCGCUGCAUUGCCAGCCCUUUUUUCGGUUGUUUUUAUUUUGUGACGGGGCCUCCCUAGAUGGCCCAGGCUGGGCUCGAACUUGUGAUCCUCCUGCCUCAGCCUCCUUCCUUAUAAUACUCCCUGUCCGCAGCACAUCACUUGUGUGUCCUUCCCUCCCCAGUGACAGGGACAGAGUCUGACACCGCCACACACUGUCGAUGCUCAGACUUGAGCUGUGUCCCAUUCUGGCAGUGCUGCUGGGUGACGUUGGGACUGUUACUUAACCUCUCCGGACUGUGCAGUUCCUUCAGCCUCAGGAAUAAGAAAGCACGGUGGCGCACACCUGUGAUCCCAGACUCAAAAGGCUGAGGCAGGAGGAUCAUUGAAGCCCAGCCUGGGCAAUUGAGCAACUUAGCAAGAGUUAAGUCUCAAAAAAUAAAAACUAAAAAAGGGUUGGAGGCCCGACCUCGUCGUUCCCCGGACGGAGGACUUCCGGCGCACAGGGAGCCUCGCGCA